GGGUGGGGAACUCCUAGGUGACUUGGAGGUAGAACUCCAAAUGUUGGGAGCUACCAUGAAACACAUGUUUACCUCAACUGUCGCGUAUAUGUGUCUCAGGUUGAGUUGAGGGGAUCUAUGAGAACAUGGCCAAAUUGAAUUGUUCGUUCACUUGUGUGGUGGCAUAGUAUCAAGCCUCCUAACCAAGUACUUCAGAGUUAGAAUGGUACCAAAGAAAGAUGAGGAGUCUAGAGUAUAAGAGCAUGCAUAACAUUACUUGAUUUGUGUGUUUACUUACUUGAUGUUGUGGAUGGUAUCAAUAUUUUACCUUGAUUAUUCUUGUUGAUUUUGAUUUGAUAUGAUACGGUGUUUAAUAUAUUUUAUGUGUUCUUCUCAAUUAUUUAUACUAUUACAUGUUUUCGAAGCUUAGCCCUCGUUGCUUAUAUUUGGCGCUUGCGAGAGCGUAGCUAUUUCAGGUUAUCGUUUGGUGAUCCACACUUUGAUAAGUGAUACUGGGUGGGAGUAAUUUGUCGUACUUUAUUGAGUUACGAACUAAUUUAUGUUUUUGUAAAUUCGAUCAAUCAAUUGUGUUAUUUUUAUCUUUUAUUCGGAGGUAAAAAUUAAUUGUCUCUAAGUUUAGAACGUUUUUUUAUGUCAUAAAUAUUUAUUUAAUAAACAUCAACUAUAUUCUAUAUAAAAACAAUUUUUAUUGAAAAUUUUUAUGCAAACAUUUUGUGUAAGUGUGAAUGUGACGUCCUGAACCUUAUAGUUUAACGGAAAAAAAUUAUACUCUAUUUUGGAAUCGCUACGAAUCUCUUUCAAAACUAUUGCAUUUUACUUUUUAUUUCAAUUUGGAUUUAGGGUGUCACAUUAGUGGUAUAAGAGUAGGUCUGUCCAAUGUAGCUGAGUGGAUCGAGCAUUGGUUCAGUGUUAGUCAAAUGUGAAUUGUGUUAGUUGUGUUUACUUUUGUACCAUUAUUAUCAUUAUAAUAUUAGGAUAAUCAACUAUUGGUUCUUAUUUUUAGUUAUGUUUAUUUAUGUUUGUGAUAAUUUGAGAUUUUUCUUUUGUUGUUGUUAUUAUUUUUUGUUUGUUUGUAAAGUUUGUUAAAUAUAUAUGCCAUGUAGGUAUAUUCUAUUACCGCGAACCACUGCUUAAAAGUCAUUUGAAACUCUAAUGAUAAUGAAUUACACUCUUUGGAAGUAUGAUUUAACGACUAAGAUAUUGACUUGUUUGAUGUUAGUUAUUUUUUGAAGGACGUAUUCAUUUUUUCUUGUUUUUCGAAUGGACAUUGAUAUAAUAAUUGCCUUGGCCGUAAAAUUUGAGAAGAAAUUUAAAUUAUACUUGCCAUCAUUAUUAGUGGUUCGAGUGAAUUUUAAACACCGGUCCAUAAAAGUGGUCCACCAUAGCAUUUUCCGCAUGAAGUAUUUGGACACUGAAAGUUUGAAAUCUCUAAGUAUUGUUUUGGCUUGGAACGAUGUUGUAACGUGCAUAUAUCAAAGAAAAAAAAUGAAAUAACUUGUUUGUAGUAGAUUGAGAUAAAGAUGAUAACUUGUUUGUAGUAGAUUGAGAUAAAGAUGAGUAUGUUUUUGUAAUAUAAUAUGGGAGUUUUAUGUUUGAGUACAAAUUAAGAUUGUGUGAUUUUACUUUAUAUAUUUCAAAUUUUGUGAGCUGCAAAGAUUCUUUGCUUCUUGUGGUUUCUUUUGCUUCUUGUUUUUGACUUUUCGUUGUUGGUUUUGCUGAGUAUUUUGGUUUUCGUGUAAAUUGCAAGUUAGUGAAUUUGUGUCUUAAGUUAGUAGGUGUGGUGUGUUGCUGGCUGGUGGAAUUUGGAAAAUGGAUUACUUCUAUCAUUUUAAAGGGUUUUGGAAUCAUCUGAGAUGGAAAUGAAUUAUAAUGUUUAGUGACAUUUAAAACAUGAUUGUAGAAGCUAGUCAUAUCUGUUUGGUUUGGCUGUGUUGCGUACUGUCUUAUGUUGCUUACCCAUGAUACAAUUAUGAUAAUUGAUUUUGUUCUUACAUGGUGGUGCCCUGCACUGGUUCUUUGGUUUAUUAGUAACAAAUGAUUAUGUCUUUGUGUAAUAUUCUCCGGUUGAGCUGUAGUGUUGUUUUAAUUCCCAGUUUAGCUGUAGUGUUGUUUUAAUUUUUGUACCUCCCCAUUUUUAACCUUUGGCACAAACUUGCAAAACUCAUAUUUGGAUGACACAUGCUACUAGUUAGUAUUUUAAUGUUCACUUAGGAGUUGAAAAUAGUUAGUGUGCCUUGUCAAAUAUGAGGUGAACAGUGUUUUUACAUUUAGUAUUUGAAUAAUUGAAUGAUUACAUCAAAAGUGAAUCUAUGAAUAGAAGGGAUGACAUGCCGACUGGAAAAAAAAGUUAUAUCGUUGUUCGGGUCUUGAAUUGAUAAUGUUCCAUAUGUGUUUGAUCAGUAUUUUUGUAAGGUAUCUAAAUUGAUUUAUGGUUUUUGAGGUAGUUUUUGGAAGCUAAGUCUUUUCUUGUUCGGUUGGUUGUAUGUUUGGGUGUAAGCAUAUAUUUUUUAUUUGUAUCAGUGUUACUUUGCAUGAGUUAUUUGUAUCAACACCUUAUAUUCAAUGGUUGAUCUUGCACUUCUUAUGAAAGGUUAGUGUUAUUAAUAUAUCUUGCUGAUUAAACAACAACAAAAAAGUUCAAAUUAAUUUUCUAAAAUAUAGUUUAACUUUGAACAUAGUUUAUGCACUGUUUCAUUCAUUUUAUUUUGCUAAUGUGUUAUGCUAUUGUCUAGCAAAUAGUUACCUGUCCUAUUUACUACUUGAAAAAUCUAUAUUCAGUUUGUGUUAAGUGAUAUGGAUUAAUUCAAAAAAAAAAUAAUAAAUUUAAUUGUAAUAAAUUUAGGGUAGAUGGUUUUCUAUGAGAAUAUACUACAUAUUUAGAAUCAUCAUUAAUGUGUUUUGAAGUAAACUUAGAAUCAUGGUGCCAGUUUAUUGGAUAAGUUAUAGGAAUGUGUUUUGAUUUUGUGAAUAUAAAAUUGUUUGUGGUUUAGGUGUUCUAAAUGGUUUUGUAGGAAAUUUGUGUAUAGAAUCUAGAGUUCUUAGGAGUGUUUAACAGUGGAAUAAUUCAAUGUUUCUUCUUUUUUAUUGUUGAUUAAGUUUAAAUUAAGUGUUAUUUCUAUUGCUGUUACUCAUUGUAUUAGGUAAUUAAGUAAAUUUAGUUUAUUAUCACUAGUUAAUUUGACUAUCUUCUACUUACUUGAAAUAUUAUUUUGAUAAUUUAACUGAGAAAAAAAAAUUUUUUUUUUUGAAUUAUAGAUUAUACUUAAUUUGUUUUCUAAGUGAAAUAAACAAGGUUGCUAGCUAUUUUUGGCAUAGGAAUAAUUAUAAUUAUCUAAAGGUGUGAUUGAGUUCCGGUUGACGAUAUUUUUAAAUUAUUGCCUUAUAACUUUGCUUGUUGAGUUGAGCCCAAAAUACUAUUUUAUUUGUUUUAUGACUAUGAUUAAAUAACAAUAAAUUUUAAUUGUCGUAUUAUAUGUUUAUUAUAAGUAUUUAUGUACAUGUACUAGUUGCUAAAUUUUUUUCUUUUUAAAAAAAAAAUUGUGAAGUUAAAAGUAGUUUAACGGUGUUGAGAGAGGUGAGAGAUGUGACAAUGUCUUCCCACACUACGACCACGUUAAAAGUCUUUUAAUUAUCUAUAUUUGAAUCCAAUGAUUUUUAGUUAUUGUUACCUUGAGUAAUUGACAUGAGUAGAAGGGAUUGAUCAACCGAUGACUCACUGUUAGUGCAAAUAGGCAAGAAUGACUCAACAUUAUUAUUAUGAAUAUAUGAUGACUUUAUUUUGGUUAAUUAGACGGAAGGUCCACCCUUAUACCCUUAUGUUAGUUGAGUUAUUUCAAUGUAUAUGUGUAUCUUGUCAUGAGGUAAUAUGUUCAUCAUUGACUUUUAUUUUCUUUGCUUAUUUGGUUAUAAUUUUUUUAAAUGAUUUAAUUAUAAAUGGCAUACACUAUAAAUGUUGAUUGUUUUAAAAAAAAAAAAUUGUGAGUUUGAAAUACAUGAAAAAUAAUUUACCCCUUCUAAUAUGGUUUUGUAUAUUGGUUCUUGAUUGCAAAGUGAUUACAUGUCCUUAGAAUUGUUAUAUGCAUUUCUGUUUAUAAUUAUUUAAUGUGUAGAAUAUUUUAAAUGUUCUUCUAUAUGUCUAACUUUUGUUAAACUUGUAGAGUAAAUGUUGUUUGAAUUUAAACAUUCUUUUAGGAGUGUGAGACUAAUAAAGCACUAUUUGAGAAGUUAAUUGAAAUUAAUAAUGUGUUUAAUUUUUUUCCGUUCAUUCAAGUUACGUAGUAAGUUGUUAUUUACUAAUUCUAUGAGCUUUAAUUCCUCUGUAAAUUAUAAUGAGUAAUUGUGGUAUUUCUUUCAUGAUUGAAAUGUUAUAUGUGACAUGUAUUUUAAUAAUUCAUUGUCAUGGUAGUCUAUCAUGCUAAGUCACUUGAUUCUUGACAUAUAGUGCUUAGAUAACGAGGGAGUUCCUUGAGGGUACUAAAUUAGGUAUUUGUUCGUUUAUUGUUCAUCAAAAAUUUUGACGACGAAAUUUAUUUAACGAAUGGAGAAUUGUAACACCCUAAAUUUUAUAAUAAAUUAUUUUAUUUAUCUAAUAGGAUUUUAAAUAAUUAAUUUAGUAUUGCAUGUGUUUAGAAUAUGUGUUGAUAUAUAAUUAUGAUUAAUUUUCCUUACAUGUGUAUUUGCUAUAGUGUGAUAAUUUUAUUGAGAUUUAAAUUAGUGAAUAAGAUAAAUUGUUAAUAUUGUAUUUAUUUAUUCUAUUUACUUAUUUUUGUGAAAAUUAUUAGUAUUGUAAUAUGAAUAUUUUGGAGAAUAAUACUUUAAUUAUUAUGGAUGAAUAGAAUGAGUGAUUAAUAUCCUUUUUUUAACUUAAAUUAUAGAAAUAUAAGUUUAAGUCAGCUAUCAACACCCCUUUCUGCUUCAGUUGUUUUUUUUUAUUGGGUUUUUGCUGAUUUUGUACCUCACUUUACCCAAAACCACAAAUCAGAUUUUGCACCUCGUUUACCCUAAACCACAAAUCACAAGCAGAUUUCUUGUUCUUACAACCUUGCGCCGCCGCUGGUAAUAGCUCAUCCCCAUCUUCACCAAUUUCUUCCAUUCCGUGGUUGAAUAACUCAUCACAAUUUCUUCUCCAUCAAUCAUCUUCGUCCAGACCUACUAUAUGAGACUCCCAUAAUAAGAAAACAAGUCACAAUACAUCUCUAACAACCGCUACAUGUGAUAUUUUUCGACAACCGUGAGUGUCUUCAAUGUCUCCAACCACCAUAUUUGAAAUCAUUGUGCUCGACUCAUUCAUCUACGAGAAGAACCGCAAUCAAAACAACCAUUCAUGACUUAAUCGAAAAUUCUAACCAUCGCCUUCAAGCCUCGAUUCUGGCCGUUGUAGUGUUGACUCGAAAUAACGAAGAUCGGUUAUGUGAUCUAUGGGUCGAGAACUUUGUCCUACAAUAUUCAUUUUCAAUUUAAGCAAAAUCCGUGAAAACUUGUUAUCGUCGGCGUUACGGUAAAUGUUUUCCGAUCAACCUAGCAUUCAUUGUUCAUUUGUUUUGAACCUAUCAUAAUUAAAGUCAGAUGUUGAUGCGCUUUUAAUUUUAAUUUAAGUGUUGUUGUUAUCCGUAAGCACCGUUUCGAGUCAACCGUGUUGGUAAGGUCCUCCGACCAUUAUUUUUUUUCUUCCCUCCAUAAUUUCAACUUUGUUUCUACUUGUAAUAUCAUUUAUUAAAUAUUUGACUUUUUUUUAUCAUCGUCGCAAUUUCUCAGUUGCAAUUUGGUUAUUCUCUGGACCCGCUUUCAAACAAUUUAUUUUUUGAUUGCUCCAACAUUGCUGAAAUUUAAAGUGUACCGUAUGAAAUCAUUAAAGGAGGUAUGGAGUGAGAGAGAGUUCGAAUUCAUGAGUGUAAGUUAACUGAGAUGAAUGGGAAAACCUUAUUUCCCAUAAUUCAUUUGAGGCUCGCUAGUACGGUUGAAGUCUUUUGAGUAAUAGUUGACUAAUGAGAAAACUUGAAUUUGGUGAGGUUAAAAUACGAGUUAGAAACUUUUAUAGGGUGUUGUUUGAUUUAAAUUUUAAAUAUUGCUUGGUAGUUGAAUUAUUGCAGAAUUGUGUAUUUGAUGUAUUAUGUGUUUUGUUUAUAUCUACCUUGAUAUCAUUAUAUGAUAUAAAAUAUGAUGAAUUGUUAUUAAUUCAAUUUCAAUUGAAGUGAUGUGUGUGAAUGAUCUAGUAUUAUUAUCUGUGAGUGAAAAUCAUAUAUUGUUGGAGUUUGUGUAUUAUGAUGAUAAAUUUUGAAUGUAGUAAGUAUAUGACUAUGAAAAUAUGCAUUGAUGGUUACUUGUUGACUUAUGAUGUUACUACCUUGAUGAAUAUCACGAAAUGCAUAUUUCAUUUUAUUGAAUAGUGAUGAGUUUGACUUGUACCAAGGGUGGUUCUCUUAAUGGAGUGAGUAACCUAUGCCAACGAGGGGAGAAAAUAGAUGUUGAUAAUUUUUGAAGUGGAGAAUAUGUAGUCAUCAUAUAGGUAGGGCCUCAAAAUCCUAGUGAUUCCGGGGAAGUACAAUUGAAUGAGUCUGGUCGUGGCGGUCUGUUGUUGAGCCUUAGGGCAAGAUUGUUAGACCUUGGAGGUAUUCGAGUGGGGAACUCCUAGGUGACUUGGAGGUAGCACUUCAAAUGUCAAGAGCUACCAUGUAACACACGUUUACCUCGACUGUCGCGUAUAUGUGUCUCGGGUUGAGUCGAGGAGAUCUAUGAGUACAUGGCCAAAUUGAAUUGUUCGUCCACUUGCAUGGUGGCAUAGUAUUAAGCCUCCUAACCAAAUACUUCAGAGUUAGAAUGGUACCAAAGAAAGAGGAGGAGUCUAGAGUAUAAGAGCAUGCAUAACAUUACUUGAUUUGUGUGUUUACUUACUUGAUGUUGUGGAUUGUAUCAAUGUUUUACCUUGAUUAUUCUUGUUGAUUGUGAUUUGAUAUGAUACGGUGUUUAAUAUAUUUUACGUGUUCUUCUCAAUUAUUUAUACUAUUACAUGUUUUCGAAGCUCACCCUUUGUUGCUUGUGCUUGGCACUUGCGAGAGUACAGUUAUUUCAGGUUAUCGUUUGGUGAUCUACGCUUUGAAAGGUGAUAUUAGGUGGAAGUAAUUUGUUGUAUUUUGUUGAGUUAUGAACUAAUUUAGCUUUUUGUAAAUUCGAUCGAUCAAGGUAAAAAUUAAUUGUCUCUAAGUUUAGAAUGUUUUUUUAUGUUAGAAAUAUUUAUUUAAUA
RNAcentral lists this long non-coding RNA (7240 nucleotides) under Cicer arietinum (chickpea). RNAcentral describes it as "long non-coding RNA (CARI_LNC001225)". Lineage: Eukaryota; Viridiplantae; Streptophyta; Magnoliopsida; Fabales; Fabaceae. The record is from RNAcentral.